Oryctolagus cuniculus (rabbit) is the source of this 2378-nucleotide non-coding RNA. Lineage: Eukaryota; Metazoa; Chordata; Mammalia; Lagomorpha; Leporidae. The record is from RefSeq and is a predicted model, not a curated record.
GCCUGAAUUAAAGGAAUGUCUCAUGCCUCAGGCCACUUCCGGAGUAAAAAGCAUGUAGAAAGAUUUGGGCUCAGGCUGUUGGGUCAGGAGACAACACCAAGGGAAAGGAAACGCCCCCUUCUAACUGUGACAUCACAAUGGUGGCCACAAAUGUGGGGGCUCUGAAACUCCCACAAGUCUUCCUUCCCGGAGUCCCGAGAACCUCGGGGAAGCUCUUAGAACCGUAGGGAAAAUGAGAAGAGGACACAAGAAAAACCAUGAUUCUCAACGCUGCCUUUGCAAUAGAAUCAUCUGGAAAAAUCUCAACAAAUGCUGAUGCUUGGGUUCUGCUCCCCGGGAGUCUAUUCUACUUGUCUAUGAUGGCGUCCAGACAUUUAUGUGGUUUUAAAAUCUACCUAGGAGGUCAGCAGAAAACUGUUGCACACGGUCGCCCAGGGACCCAGGCUGAGGGCGCCGCAGGAUCUAGAGGUAUCCUUGCUCACCGCAGGAGGAGAGAACGCUAGAGUGUCAGAUACUGGCUGUGGAUUCUUGUAACACGUAAGUGCGACACUUUUCACAAUGUGAAAUCGCUGACUUACAGUCCACUGCCAGGCUUAAUCACAUGACCUGCUGGACCAGAUGGAGGGUUGAAAUGUAGACGUACACUGUCUCUGGCAAGCAUUCAAGUUCCUAUCAUCCAAUAAAAUAUGCCAAAGGAGGCAGGUUUCUCACAGGCACUGCUGAGUUACAAACAUCCUGUUUGUGGACACCCAGGUGAGGGUGAGCCAAGCCUGACUUGGCCCUGAAAAGAUGAGCUGGGUCAAGGAGGUCUGAGUCUUCCUGACAGCCCGGUACCUCAGGGAAGAGCAGUGGUGGGAUUGCUCCCUCCUAUUCACUGCCCCAGACAGACCAGAGUUUCCUCUAGACUUCUCUCAAGCACCAAACUGUACCUGUUAAAUGCUGGAUGGAUAAGUCCUUCAAAAUCAUUUAAUCCAAUCCUCCCUAAGGUGGAGGUAGCCCAGGGCUACCUCAAAGAGAAGUAAUUUACCAAAUGCCAUAAGUUAGUUACUUAGAUAAGAAUAGAGUCCUGUUUCCUCUCUCCCAGUACUAUUCUUACUACCUCCCCAAGAACGUGAUAAAUUACAUACAAAAUUUCCAGUCUUCAGAGAAAAAAUAAUUGACACAAACCUCAAAAAUUCAACCCAAGUACACAAAAAGAAAACAACAUAAAUAAAAAAUAGACAAUAUAAAACAUGAAGUAAAGCAUCAGAAACAAGCCUAAAAAUAUUCAACAUUACAAUAAAUGUGAAUGGGUAAAAUUCUUCUAUUAAAAGUCCAAGACUUUUGCUACCCAUGAUUCAGCCCAGAAAUGAAAUGACACAGAAUGGUUAAAAAUAAAAAGAAUGACAAGAGAAGCUAAUCAAAUGGUAAUAGACUUGCUGUGGUAAUAUUGAUAUCAGAGAAAAUAAAAAUUUUUAAUUAAAACUUUAAAUAUGACAAUCAAAUUAGGAGCCUUGGUUGCUUUUCUAGUCAAAAAAAUUGCAGUCCUAAGAAAUCAAAGCUUAGGUUGUAUAAGGGUCACCAAUAUUUGAAAGAUGAUGUGAAAUAUCUGAGAGAUGUGUGUGGGUUUGGGUGUGCGUGUGUGUAUAAAUGUGUGCAUGUCCUGUGUGACCCAACUGCUUCUGGGCUCUAUAAAUCUAUCUCACUUCCUUUUAAAAAUACUUAGUCACAGUACUACACUGAGCUUAACUCUCUGUCCUCCAAGAGCUGACCAGCUCAUGGGUAUCUCUACAGAACAGCACCAUCCCAACAGCGUGCAGAAUUCUUCCAGUGAGGAAGCCAAUAUACACUCACACAAAACCUCGGAGAAAGGGGAAUAACAAUUUCUCUGUGCUGUGUGAGACUAACUCGGAGGAUCAAUGCCUGAUCCUCACAGCACAACCAUGGUUGCAAAGCACACUGGGGAAACUCCAGAACUCCCAACUACUUUUUCAAGGGGCAGCCAGCUCCCUAGACACAGGGCUGGGCCUGGUGUGACCCCAGCUGCUGAGAAUUCCCUCACAGCCCCUGCCUUGCUAGGUGUUUCCAAAGCACAUAUCCCAAGGCCCACACUAGGACCGUCCACUUCCCAUUUUGAGGAGUGAGUGCCGCACAUAUGAGUUUGUUAAGCACUUCUACUGAAGGAAAGAAACAGAAACAGCCUCCUAACAUGGCCCAAGCAGUCCUCCCUUGUCUGCACUUCUAUAGCAGGGCACACGGCACAGGGCAGCAGAGGGCCUUGGCAGCAUGUCGGCGAACAACACAGCCUCAUAAUCUCUGCUCCCAUCCAUCACAACUCCAUGCCAAAGCGUUAAUGGGGGCAUGCUAGACACUGGGUAUGUAUGGCCUGGGCCACUAGC